CAUUCAAUAAGCGGAGGAAAAGAAACCAACAGGGAUUGCCCUAGUAACGGCGAGUGAAGCGGCAACAGCUCAAAUUUGAAAUCUGGCUCCUUUGGGGUCCGAGUUGUAAUUUGCAGAGGGAGCUUUUGGCGUCGGUCGUGGUCUAAGUUCCUUGGAACAGGACGUCACAGAGGGUGAGAAUCCCGUACGUGGCCGCCGGCCUUCGCCUUGUAAAGCCCCUUCGACGAGUCGAGUUGUUUGGGAAUGCAGCUCUAAAUGGGAGGUAAAUUUCUUCUAAAGCUAAAUACCCGCCAGAGACCGAUAGCGCACAAGUAGAGUGAUCGAAAGAUGAAAAGCACUUUGGAAAGAGAGUGAAAAAGCACGUGAAAUUGUUGAAAGGGAAGCGCUUGCGGCCAGACGUGCCCGCGGUUGAUCAUCCAGGCUCCAGCCUGGUGCACUCCUCCGCGGGCAGGCCAGCAUCAGUUCGGGCGGUCGGAUAAAGGCCUCUAUCACGUACCACCCCUCGGGGUGGCCUUAUAGGGGAGGCGCAACACGGCCAGCCCGGACUGAGGUUCCGCGCAUCUGCUAGGAUGCUGGCGUAAUGGCAGCAAGCGGCCCGUCUUGAAACACGGACCAAGGAGUCUAACAUCUAUGCGAGUGUUUGGGUGUCAAGCCCGAGCGCGCAAUGAAAGUGAACGGAGGUGGGAACCCUUACCGGUGCACCAUCGACCGAUCCUGAUGUCUUCGGAUGGAUUUGAGUAAGAGCAUAGCUGUUGGGACCCGAAAGAUGGUGAACUAUGCCUGAAUAGGGUGAAGCCAGAGGAAACUCUGGUGGAGGCUCGCAGCGGUUCUGACGUGCAAAUCGAUCGUCAAAUUUGGGCAUAGGGGCGAAAGA
This 874-nucleotide ribosomal RNA is filed under the name Torula sp. Its description in RNAcentral is "partial large subunit ribosomal RNA". It matches the Rfam family "Eukaryotic large subunit ribosomal RNA", at positions 39 to 930 of the family's 3401-position model. Lineage: Eukaryota; Fungi; Ascomycota; Dothideomycetes; Pleosporales; Torulaceae. The record is from RNAcentral.